GACAGAGAGAUGAAGAGAGAAACACAGAGAUGAAGAGAGAAACACAGAAAUGGAGAGACAGAGAAUCAAGGACAGGAAAAGUUUGGAUCCUGAUGUUGAUGUUUCCCAGAUGGUUGAACUCUUGCACAUUAGCAAACGGUGUAAACCUGCUGAAUUGGUUAAUUGGUUAUUGAUUAGCAGGUGACUGACAUUUCUGAGGUAAAAUCUUCAUUUCUCCAGUCAUCAUGUCUUUACACAUGGAAUAAAAAUGCUGUAUCAGUGUCUCUUUCCCAACAUCCAUAAGGAUUAUUUCUACUGAUCAUCAGCUCUGAUCAAAAGCAGGUGAACAGGUGAAGAGGUGAAGAGGGUGAACAGGUGAAGAGGUGAAGAAGGUGAACAGUGACGUCUCUCUGACUCAAGGCUUCCAUUGGGAGUUUCGGCUGAACCACAGGGGUGGACGGAGGGAUCAGAUACGGGAUACUGUGGAAAGAAGGCGGACGAGGGUGAUGGGUUUAGCAGUGCUAGCUGAGAUGGUCUGACAGACGAGAAGACAAGAAGGUCUGACCAGAUGAACCUGAGAGCAAAGCCCUGAAGCUCCAUAACUCAGGGGUCAGUAACUGCUGCUCCAUCAUCUGAACCGAGUGAAUAAAUAAACACCCUCCCACUGCAGCUGCAGCUCUGAAGAUCUAGUUUUGUACACAAGAACCAUUGUGUGGUGUUUCCUGAGGAGUUUCAUCCAAUCACACGCUUUCAUGUAAACAUUUUAGCUAAAGAGAAAAUAUUUCACAGGUUUCACAGUCUCUUCAUCUCAUCCCUGUUUUAUCAGUUCAGUAUGUUAUUCUCAUCCAUUUGUCUCGAGUGUUUCUCUCAUCUGUUCAGUCUGUUGAUCUCGUCUCUUCAUCUCAUCUGUUCACGAGCACAUUUCAAGGUGGAAUGAAAAGGUUUGGAGGUUGAAGGUUGUACCUGGUGACCUCGAGACCUCCAGCUUUCAGAGCAAUCAGAACACAUGAACACGAGACCAGAGCUUUUACUGAUCUAAUGGACAGGUGGAGAACUCAGGUGAGGGGGAGGAGCCUGGGAUCUUUAUUAGAGGGAACUCUCAUCAGAUAACCGAUAUCUGGAAAAAUGUACCAGAAUAAAUAUCUUUAUCCUUACUCAUGUACACACACACACACACACACACACACACACACACACACACAAAGUUGGAUCCUGCAGGCCAGAUGGGAUCCUGCAACAAAUUCCAGUUCAAUCCGGAUUGAUUCACAGAUUCUUUAAUGAAAAGAAAAAAGAGGGAAAACCCCUCAAAAUUAUUACUCUUCAAACGAUGAAACAUUUGUGACUCAUUAGAAGUGUGUUUUUUGGUGAUUUUGCUCACGGAAUGUUUAAUAAACAUUAAUAAUGCCUCAGAAAGCAGGAAUGAAGGAUUAUUAUUAUUUCUUACGGUUUAUUAGAAAGAUUUAUCUGGAUGUGUGUUUGCAUUUACUUCAUGUUUGGCUGCGGUUGAAGG
Molecule: long non-coding RNA, 1489 nt
Organism: Silurus meridionalis
Lineage: Eukaryota; Metazoa; Chordata; Actinopteri; Siluriformes; Siluridae
Exons: 3
Source: RefSeq, a predicted model, not a curated record